Molecule: long non-coding RNA, 474 nt
Filed under: Arabidopsis lyrata
Lineage: Eukaryota; Viridiplantae; Streptophyta; Magnoliopsida; Brassicales; Brassicaceae
Description: long non-coding RNA (ALYR_LNC003122)
Source: RNAcentral
CUUUAUUUGAUAUUCUUUAACAACAGGUCUUUGGUUUGGUUACAAAUGCAGGUCUUGGACGAACGUGCGCGUGAUCAGCGUCUAGUUGCUUUACUAGAAAAAUACCAUAAAUCUCAAAAGUAAAUUUGCUACUUAAUUAUCGAACCCUUACCAGAUCUUUCCUUUUUCAACAUACUAAUAUCAAGUGUUUUGGUGCUUACAGGAACAGGGUUUUGGUAUUUGCUUUAUACAAGGUGGAAGCUGAACGUCUCGAGCGUUUUCUUCAGCAAAGGUUUGAUCUUUUAGCCGGAAUCACCUCAACAGAAGAGAAAAAGAUCUUUGAUAUUUUUGCUCAUGAAAUGCAAUGAUUCUAAUAUUUACACAACUAUUUAGAGGUUGGAAAGCUGUAUCUAUACACGGAAACAAAGCACAGAGCGAACGUACCAGGUCUUUAUCAUUGUUCAAAGAAGGAUCCUGCCCGUUGCUGGUAUGUAU